GGGAACGCCGGCACUGCUGCGGGCACUGCGCCUGCGCCGGCCGAGCGCUCUUGUGGUCUGUGGGUGAGGGUUGCGGCUUCGCGGUGGUGGGGAAAGGCUGCUAAGUGUGAUCUGCAGCGGUUAGGACUUAGCUUAACUUGAAACAGGCAGAUUGAACAAGGACCCGAAGGGAAUUCUAUCGAAAUCUCGUACUUCUCGCUUAAUUCGGAGUCCUCAAUCUUUCUAGCGCCUCUGUACCAAAUGUUGUGAAUGUUUUUGUCGUCGUUUUUCCUCACGGUAUUAAUACAGGCUUACCAGAUUACCCGUGAGAACUCACCCGGGCUCCAAUUACAGAAACGUAGGUGAGGCUUUGUAAAUGAUGUAAUGGUUCAGAAGGUGCGGUGCUGUGUCACGCAGUCGUCCCGUUCGCGGUGAGCCAUCUGUAGAUCACCUUGGGCUUGCAAUAGAAACCGGGGCAUUCUAACGUCCAACAGAGGAGCUGCGGUUCUACACAAACAAAACCCGUGUUCCGAAAAAUCGUGGUGCUCUGAGUAGCCUGAUGGGCAGAAAUCCCACAAAGCAAAAGUCAGUGCUUUGUUAAAUGAUGUGUGUGGUAUGUACUUCAAGGCACUCAAGCCCUUCUUCAGAAUUCCGAGCGUGAGCACCCAAAAGGUUUCCCAGUUCUUCCAGCAAUAUCAGUUUGAUAACAUCUACCAGCAAACCACGUUCUGCUCUGCUGGUGUUGGCAUAGGUUUGUCAGGAGAAAGAGUGAGCCUUGGUUUCUGGAAGAACUCUCAGCUGACACACCACUCUGGGUCUGUGCUCUGCUCUGCUCUGCUCUGGGAAAAUUAUGUACUCAGAGGUAUGACAACUGUGCAUGGCUGUCCAGAGUGUGGCUUAUCUGUCAUGUUACUGUCACUACUGCUGGUCUCCAUAAAGGUUCAGCAAGCAUCGAUGGAUGUCAGUGGGUGCAAGCUUUAAGCUGAGAUUGCUUUCAAUCAAGAUGCUGGAAGACUACCACUGAAUAGGCAUUUCAGCAGGUAAACCUGACGUUUACUUUCCUUAAGAACUCUUUAUUUUUUACUAAGUUCAGGAGGAAAAAAACAACUUUCAUACAGAACUAUCAUGUACACCUGUUACAUGACAGUUUUGCUUGCAGUGGCAUCACUUUGUGUUUUGGAUCUUUAAAGUUUUUCCAGAUGAAACCUAUUUAGUAGAUCUGAAUGUUAGUAGCAACAUUUAAA
RNAcentral lists this long non-coding RNA (1223 nucleotides) under Gallus gallus (chicken). RNAcentral describes it as "long non-coding RNA NONGGAT012090". The record is from RNAcentral. Lineage: Eukaryota; Metazoa; Chordata; Aves; Galliformes; Phasianidae.